This 497-nucleotide ribosomal RNA is filed under the name uncultured bacterium. RNAcentral describes it as "partial 16S ribosomal RNA". It matches the Rfam family "Bacterial small subunit ribosomal RNA", at positions 28 to 507 of the family's 1533-position model. The record is from RNAcentral.
GAUGAACGCUGGCGGCGUGCCUAAUACAUGCAAGUCGAGCGAACAGACGAGGAGCUUGCUCCUCUGACGUUAGCGGCGGACGGGUGAGUAACACGUGGAUAACCUACCUAUAAGACUGGGAUAACUUCGGGAAACCGGAGCUAAUACCGGAUAAUAUAUUGAACCGCAUGGUUCAAUAGUGAAAGACGGUUUUGCUGUCACUUAUAGAUGGAUCCGCGCCGCAUUAGCUAGUUGGUAAGGGAACGGCUUACCAAGGCGACGAUGCGUAGCCGACCUGAGAGGGUGAUCGGCCACACUGGAACUGAGACACGGUCCAGACUCCUACGGGAGGCAGCAGUAGGGAAUCGUCCGCAAUGGGCGAAAGCCUGACGGAGCAACGCCGCGUGAGUGAUGAAGGUCUUCGGAUCGUAAAACUCUGUUAUUAGGGAAGAACAAAUGUGUAAGUAACUAUGCACGUCUUGACGGUACCUAAUCAGAAAGCCACGGCUAACUACGUG